GGAAGGAUCAUUAUAAGUUAUUGUUAACUAUGUUUUGUGCUAAUACGUCAACUACUUGUUGUCAUUGUUUGGAUACUGUAAAAUUUAAAACUUGCAACAACGGAUCUCUAGGCUCUCCAUCGAUGAAGAACGCAGCAAAAUGCGAUACGUAAUGUGAUCAGCGGCUUUCGUGAACCAUCGAGACUUUGAACGCACCCUUGCACUGCAGAGUUUAUUCUCUGCAGUAUGUUUUGUUUGAGUGUCUUAUACAACCUUAUGGUUUGCUAGUAAUAGCCCAUAGUUGCUGGUGUUGCAUUAGCUAGCUAGUGCUUCUACCGAAAUAUAUCCACCUUUAGUCUAGUUAAACUAACAAGACUAUGAUCAGGUAGCACAACAACCAGACCUCAAAUCAAGCAGGACUACCCGCUGAACUUAAGCAUAUCAAUAAGCGGAGGAAAAGAACUAACAAGGAUUCCUUUAGUAACGGCGAGUGAACAAGGACCAGCCCAAAUUUAAAAUCUGUUACCAAACAGAGUUGUAGUUUGGAGACCUGUGAUCAGCCGAAGCCUAACCGGUAAGUCUGUUGGAACACAGCGCCACAGAGGGUGAUAGCCCCGUCUGCACGGUACCGGCGGAGCACUACGACACAGUGUCGACGAGUCGAGUUGUUUGGGAUUGCAGCUCAAAGUGGGUGGUAAACUCCAUCUAAGGCUAAAUAUUGGGGAGAGACCGAUAGCAAACAAGUACCGUGAGGGAAGAUGAAAAGAACUUUGGAAAGAGGGUUAAAAGUGUGUGAAAUUGUUGUAAGGGAAACGAUUGCCCGUCGAUAGGAGCAUCGGUUGGUCUGCUAAGACGACGUCAACGAAUGUGGCUGGGCAACCAGUGUUUAAGCGUGGGCUGGAGUUAGCAGGCCGACUGUGGUCAGACUUGUACUUAGCGCUCUUCGGAGUCUACAAGAAGGAUGCUCUUGGCUGGUAAACGACCCGUCUUGAAACACGGACCAAGGAGUCUAACAUACAUGCGAGUAUUUGAGUGUUAAACUCUGGUGCGGAGCGAAAGCGAGAGGUGUGAGCCUAGCAAUAGGUGCAACACCGGCCAACUCUGAUUGUAUAUGACGAUGUUGAGUUAGAGCAUGUAUGCUGGGACCCGAAAGAUGGUGAAACUAUGCCUGAAUAAGAUGAAGCCAGAGGAACUCUGGUGGAGGUCUGUAGCGGUUCUGACGUGCAAAUCGAUCGUCAAAUUUGGGUAUAGGGGCGAAAGACUAAUCGAACCAUCUAGUAGCUGGUUCCUGC
Molecule: unclassified non-coding RNA, 1271 nt
Filed under: uncultured fungus
Lineage: Eukaryota; Fungi
Description: sequence contains 18S rRNA gene, ITS1, 5.8S rRNA gene, ITS2, 28S rRNA gene
Rfam family: Eukaryotic large subunit ribosomal RNA (bases 379-1271)
Source: RNAcentral